ACUUGAACCUGGGGAUGCUUGUCUACUCGAAGUCCAACUCCGAAUAUGGCUUGGAUAUGUUCUAGAGAGGGUGAAAGCCCCGUACGGGUAGACUUAUAUGUCUUUAAAGCGUUCCUUAGAUGUUCAUGUUCUAGAGUCGGAUUGCUUGAGAAUGCAGUCCAAAGUGGGUGGUAAACUCCAUCCAAGGCUAAAUACCUGCACGAAUCCGAUAGUAGACAAGUACCGCGAGGGAAAGUUGAAAAGUACUCUGAAGAGAGAGUAAAUAGUACGUGAAGCCGUUUGCAUGGAAGCUGGUGGAGUCAAGCUUCUCGUUUUAAGAAUUGACAUGGAGAAUAUGGUUCGGGGACAGACUUUUCAUUGGCUUGAAAAGAACCAGGCGGUUCGCCGUCUCAUCUAUUCUUGGCAGUGUAUAUGUUGUGAUUUUGUCUAGUCCAUUCUCUUGUGUUAUUUCUUUUUACGAGUAUCACUGUGAAUGUGCAUUAUUAUGCGGUGCAAUUAAACUAUGUUUUAGCGGGCCUCCGGGUUCACUAGGCAUGGGAUGGCAGGUGGAUGUAGGCUGGAUUUAUCUGGUCUGCUUCGUAUGAUAGCUUUGCUUGCUGAUUGUGUCGCUUCUUAAUAAUUAUGCAUAUUUUUCCUAUUGUGGCGGUGUCCGAAAUGGUAGCCGUUAUUUAGAGCAGUGGUAUUGAAGUAGACGUUCCAUCCGACCCG
RNAcentral lists this ribosomal RNA (708 nucleotides) under Cornudiscoides sclerovaginalis. RNAcentral describes it as "partial large subunit ribosomal RNA". It matches the Rfam family "Eukaryotic large subunit ribosomal RNA", at positions 149 to 651 of the family's 3401-position model. The record is from RNAcentral. Lineage: Eukaryota; Metazoa; Platyhelminthes; Monogenea; Dactylogyridea; Ancylodiscoididae.